UGCGUAGGUGGUUUCUUAAGUCAGAGGUGAAAGGCUACGGCUCAACCGUAGUAAGCCUUUGAAACUGGGAAACUUGAGUGCAGGAGAGGAGAGUGGAAUUCCUAGUGUAGCGGUGAAAUGCGUAGAUAUUAGGAGGAACACCAGUUGCGAAGGCGAUUCUCUGGGCCAAAAAACUGACGCUGAGGCGCGAAAGCGUGGGGGAGCAAAACAG
Molecule: ribosomal RNA, 211 nt
Filed under: uncultured Eubacteriales bacterium
Lineage: Bacteria; Bacillati; Bacillota; Clostridia; Eubacteriales
Description: uncultured Clostridiales bacterium partial 16S ribosomal RNA
Rfam family: Bacterial small subunit ribosomal RNA
Source: RNAcentral